CUGGCGGCAGCUUACACAUGCAAGUCGAACGGUAGCAGGAAGAAGCUUGCUUCUUUGCUGACGAGUGGCGGACGGGUGAGUAAUGCUUGGGAAUCUGGCUUAUGGAGGGGGAUAACUACUGGAAACGGUAGCUAAUACCGCGUAAUGUCUACGGACUAAAGGGUGGGACCAUUUGGCCACCUGCCAUAAGAUGAGCCCAAGUGGGAUUAGGUAGUCGGUGAGGUAACGGCUCACCAAGCCCGCGAUCUCUAGCUGGUCUGAGAGGAUGACCAGCCACACUGGAACUGAGACACGGUCCAGACUCCUACGGGAGGCAGCAGUGGGGAAUAUUGCACAAUGGGGGGAACCCUGAUGCAGCCAUGCCGCGUGAAUGAAGAAGGCCUUCGGGUUGUAAAGUUCUUUCGGUGACGGGGAAGGCGAUUGUUUUAAUAGAACAAUCGAUUGACGUUAAUCACAGAAGAAGCACCGGCUAACUCCGUGCCAGCAGCCGCGGUAAU
This 497-nucleotide ribosomal RNA is filed under the name uncultured bacterium. Its description in RNAcentral is "bacterial SSU rRNA". It matches the Rfam family "Bacterial small subunit ribosomal RNA", at positions 36 to 524 of the family's 1533-position model. The record is from RNAcentral.